GUAACUCUGAAUUCUGGGUUUAAUGGAUUUCUAAAGCAGAACACUGAAUGUUUUCUAAAGCACUGCGAAAAAUUUUUUGGCUAUGUAUCUAUGCAAGUAAUUGUUGAUGAACUGCUUUUCGGUAAUUGUUGCAUGUAACUCCUUUGGAAAUUAAGUAAACGUUAAGUUGCUUAGAAGCUGUUUGAUAAUUCAUGUGUCUUGAAAUGCUGUACUAAUACUUGCUAAGAUAUUGACCCUACUAGUGGAUAAUUUCUAUGAGUGAUUUUUGAGUUAUCUUUGUUGCCAUAAUUGGUACCAUAUUUGAAACUAUUG
This is a non-coding RNA of Pelobates cultripes (western spadefoot toad), 312 nucleotides long. The record is from the annotation of a GenBank genome assembly. Lineage: Eukaryota; Metazoa; Chordata; Amphibia; Anura; Pelobatidae.